CGCCCUCUGGAACUCCCGAUUUCACUGGGAUGUUGUCCCGGAUUUGACGGAUUUUGUGUGGCCUGGGAAACUGGGAGCCUGUGGUUGUGAAUUUUCCGGACUGGCUCGAUAAAAAAAACGUCUCUAUAGAAAAAAGCCGGCUGGCGAAACAAGUGUUUAAAAGUUUGCCGUUUUUAGGUGAAUUUGAGCCAAUUUAAGCUAUGGAAGCGAAUCCAAUCUGCACUUCAAUCUCGGUGAUUUCUGCGAGACUCAGGUGAAAUUUGAUUAUCUUUAACGGCGCGGACAAACAGUUUCGAUGGCGCCAUUAUUGCCGUAGAUCGUUUUGGAAUGUAUUCAGCCGCCUGUCAUGGAAUUAAUUAUUUCGGAAAACAUUUCAACUUCAUGGUCAGCAGCCGGGCCAAUCCUAAUCAGCCGACUAGUAGAGAAACGGUCAAGUGUACAACGGAAAUCAUUAAGCCGAAUUCCAAGCCUGUUCACAAUGUUAUUUGGUAGGUGGAUUAAUUGAUAUAAUUUAACAUGUAUAAAAGAAACAAAAUGUUGAUACAUCCUCAAUAAAUAUUACGACUUCUGUUAAUAAUGUCA
Molecule: long non-coding RNA, 582 nt
Organism: Drosophila biarmipes
Lineage: Eukaryota; Metazoa; Arthropoda; Insecta; Diptera; Drosophilidae
Exons: 2
Source: RefSeq, a predicted model, not a curated record